This is a non-coding RNA of Lolium perenne, 3138 nucleotides long. The record is from RefSeq and is a predicted model, not a curated record. NCBI's taxonomy places the organism in Eukaryota, Viridiplantae, Streptophyta, Magnoliopsida, Poales, Poaceae.
CGGGUCCGCACGGCAGUCGCUGUGGGUCGUUUCGGUGUUUCGCUCUCCUCGCGCCGGCCGUGCAAAAAAUCUGCUCCGCACGGAAAAGAUCCAGCCGAAACCCUAGGUCAACCAAUCGCGUCGCACCUAGCUCCUCCCCAAUCCCCUCUCUCUUUUCAUGCCGCGUCUGGCGGCGCCGCUCCGCCUCCCUGUUUGCCCCCUGGACGGUCGCCGCCGCACCGCCGGCGCAAGCAGGAGCAGCGCACCGCCGGCGCAAGAAGGAGGGUCUGCUGGAGCUCCGUCCUUGAUGUUGAUGGCGGACUUAACCUCGCACCGGCGGCCUCCACAGGAGCAGCGCAGGCGACCUCCACAGGGGCCGGCGCAGCGCGUGCGAACUCCGUUACUCCGGCGAGCGCGAGGGAGAAGUCGGAGGCGCCCGGUCCUGCAGCAAAUAAGCCCGUAGGUGGUGGUGGAGAUGCGCAAGACGUUGGUGCCGGAGCUCUGGACGAUGGCGCGGGCAUUGGGACAGAGGCAUAUGUAGAUCUUCUCAGACGACCCUGCAUCUGGGAGGAGGAAAAUCAGUAGUGCCGAUCCAUGGGCCGAGGCUGAUGCUGGGGAGAGGCGGCGGCGCACGGAGGAACGGUGGCCCGUCCCGAGUUUCCGAUUCAUCGGCCUGGAAACAGAGUCGGAGACGAGGUUCGGUACGAUAGGAUUCGGGAUGGAAACGCGUCCCCGGACUCUCGGUACAUUUAUACGCGAUCUGGAGUCGAAUGUGUCCCAUAGUACUUCAUCUUUCCAUGGAUUUAUCCCCUUACACAGAGCCCACUUUGCCUCUUAUUUAUCAGAUCUGUUUCUACAUGGAUUCAUGCUCUCCUAUAGCCUGAACUACAAGUGGAAGGAGACUCUUUUUUGCUUGAUCUAGCCCCCUGAACAUUACGUUUUUGCUUUUGCAGAUCCGUUUCUACAAGACGAGGAAAAAUUUCGAGUUCAUAAGGGACAUGCUUAUAAGGCCAGUUAAUCCUCUAAAUGAUGAAUCCUUGCUUUACACAUAUAUUAUUAACUGUUAAUUGAUUUGUUCUAUGAAUACCCCAUUCCACUUUUUUGGGGGGCUUGUGGUAUAGAUACGGUUGAAUGUAGCCUUCUACUGGUGUAGUGGUGUACCUACAAUCUUCAUGCUUUUACACAACAUGUUAUUGUAAAGAGAUUUGUGUGCGCAUGCUUUUGCAUAGAUUUAUCAUUUAUUUGGUUAGGAACCUACAAUUUUUAGAUUUAUCAUUUGUUGUUGUGUUUACAAAUCCUAUAGCUACACCUGCAGUUAUGAGAACUAGGAUCCGAACUUUGUAUGGCGGAUUAUUUUCCCUUCUCAUGUUUGCCAGAAAAAACAGUUCUGGUCCAAUUGCAACUUGUGUACCAAGCUUGAGGAAAUUUGGAAACCAAAGAAAUAUAAAAUCCAAGAGCAAGGAGGAUAUGGAUUUUAUUUUUGUAGUUCUCCGUGUAAUCCUAACACAAGAUGUGAUAAUUUCCCACAUCAUUAGUCAUUUCUGCUUCGUUUAUUUGUUCAUGGUAAUAGCACUUUCAGUGAUUUAAGUUUGGUUAAUCUGAGAUACUCUUUUUCUUGAUUAUAUAAUGCCGUCAAACAGACUGGAGCAACGACUGAUGGUGUAACCUGAACGCAAUGGAGGUUAUGGAGAGAUGCAUGUCUGGGAUCCUCUGCUUCCAUCGUACACCACGGUCGGCGUAGGAAUUCGCUAACCCCUGGGUUGACUUGCAUUCUGACCAUAUGCUUUACUUAACCCAAGGCGAGCCAUUGUAAAUUACUAGGAAAUUAAUAUGUGUUAAAUUGUUUGAGGCACCCAUCAUACAGUAUUUCUCUGAUUAGAAGACCAUGUACAUUUCUCUUGGAAAUUUGAGAUGCGUUAGCUUUUCAAAUCAGUGUCAUGCUUAUCAAGAACGGGCUUGUUCUGUUGAUCAGUUGCAGGGCCAGCAGGUUGUUUAGGAUUCUAGCAAAUUUAAUAUCAAGACCUUGUGUUUGUGUGUGCGGAAUUUCCAGUGAAAGAAGCAUGGUUUUGUCCGAGCUUGACACUCAUUCGAUCUUUAUAUAUGGUGAUUGCUGAUGGCUGCCAGACUGAUGUGGGAAAAAAAUGUUGCACAGAACCUUGAUGACAUGAUAACCAAUUCUAUUAUUCAGAAUGUUAGAAGAUCUUCCAGGCUGUUGAACAUGAAUAUGAAAAAUAAAAGCGAAGUGAGAGGUUAGCCAGACUAUCUGGUUGUGUUGCUAUUAUUCAGGUUGGAACACGAACUGGAACUGAGCUUAGGGAAAAUAAAGUGAGGGUUGAAGACUCACUGAAUGCAACAUAGGUGGAUGAUGUUCAUCUGAAGGGCACGUGAGCGUGCGAGCAGCAGUAGGGUGCCAUGGCCCGGUGGCUGAUGCAGGAGGGCCCCCAAGCGGCCGCAUCUCGCUGGCGACGACGCGCCCUUGCCUGUCGCCAUGACCAGCUCCGCCGAAAUCCACCCCGUCGCCGCAUCCACCACAUGCUCGUUCUCCUGGUUGCCCAAGAAGACUCCUCUGCGAAGCAUUCGGAUCCAAUAGGGGUGGGACUUGCCAUGGAAGCUGUCAGGAAGUUGCUGGGCCGGAGUGCAUCAUGCCCGACCAGUAGGCACCUCUGCGGCUAAUGGGAAUCAUGUUAACCAUGACAAGGCUAUGAAUAUAGAGCAAGCCCAGUUCAGCGGUUAUUUUUCACGUAGGAAUCCAAUUAGUGAGAAAGCCAUUUAUAGUCUCUUCUAAAUCUGAUUGCACUCAUAUAUGACGAAACCUUCAGGUUUUGCUCUGUCUGUGUUGAAAUUGUUAUGAUUCUUUAUCUUGAUCAAGCAAAAGGAUGGAGUUCUAUGAUUCCUGGAGUGGGUAAAUUGCUUCUGGUUCAGAUUUGGCAUGAAAUCGACUAUGGGAGAAGGAUCCUGAUGGCAUUGCUCCCGCGGAUUUCAUUAACUCGAUUUUACCAAACAACAUCAAAAUUAUUUCUUUAGUAGAUGGCCUAGCUUAUAUAUAUGUUUCUUUGUCCUUACUUCUGUUGCUCUCGACAUAGCCAUCGAGUGUUUGGUACCAUAAUAUAUUCCUCUAUUUUCCUGGUUGUAUAUAAAUGUUGAGAACUUCAUUUGUAA